RNAcentral lists this ribosomal RNA (833 nucleotides) under uncultured bacterium. RNAcentral's name for it is "bacterial SSU rRNA". It matches the Rfam family "Bacterial small subunit ribosomal RNA", at positions 63 to 869 of the family's 1533-position model. The record is from RNAcentral.
CGGACGAGGAACUGCUUAGCUUGCUUUGCAGUUCCUAGUGGCGAACGGGUGAGUAACACGUGAGCAACCUGCCCAGAAGCAGGGGAUAGCCCGCCGAAAGGUGGAUUAAUACCGUAUGUGAUCCCAAGAGGCAUCUCUUGGAGAUUAAAGCCGGGGACCUUCGGGCCUGGCACUUCUGGAUGGGCUCGCGGCCUAUCAGCUAGUUGGUGAGGUAAAGGCUCACCAAGGCGACGACGGGUAGCUGGUCUGAGAGGAUGAUCAGUCACACUGGAACUGAGACACGGUCCAGACAUCUACGGGUGGCAGCAGUCGAGAAUCAUUCGCAAUGGGCGUAAGCCUGACGGUGCGACGCCGCGUGGAGGAUGACAGCUCUAGGGUUGUAAACUCCUGUCAUGAGAGAGUAAAGGCUUGCCGUUAAUAGCGGUCGGGCUCUGAUAGUAUCUCAAGAGGAAGGGACGGCUAACUUCGUGCCAGCAGCCGCGGUAAUACGAAGGUCCCAAGCGUUGUUCGGAAUCACUGGGCGUAAAGCGUGCGUAGGCGGCACGGUAAGUCAGAUGUGAAAGCCCGGGGCUCAACCCCGGAACUGCAUCCGAUACUGCCGAGCUAGAGUAGUGGAGGGGAGUCUGGAAUUCACGGUGUAGCAGUGAAAUGCGUAGAUAUCGUGAGGAACACUAGUGGCGAAGGCGAGACUCUGGACACUAACUGACGCUGAGGCACGAAGGCUAGGGUAGCGAAAGGGAUUAGAUACCCCUGUAGUCCUAGCAGUAAACGGUGCGCGUUUGGUGUGGGCGGGUUCGACCCCGUCCGUGCCGGAGCUAACGCGUUAAACGCGC